Molecule: small nuclear RNA, 106 nt
Organism: Acomys russatus (golden spiny mouse)
Lineage: Eukaryota; Metazoa; Chordata; Mammalia; Rodentia; Muridae
Source: RefSeq, a predicted model, not a curated record
GUGUUCGCUUCAGCAGCACACAUACUAAAAUUGGUACAGUAGAGAAAAGAUUAGGAUGGCUCUUUGCAAAGCUGACAUGCAAAUUUGUAAAGUUUUCCAUAUUUUU